Molecule: ribosomal RNA, 1208 nt
Filed under: metagenome
Description: bacterial SSU rRNA
Rfam family: Bacterial small subunit ribosomal RNA
Source: RNAcentral
AGAGUUUGAUCCUGGCUCAGGAUGAACGCUAGCGGCAGGCCUAACACAUGCAAGUCGAGGGGUAACAGGAGAGCUUGCUCUCGCUGACGACCGGCGCACGGGUGAGUAACGCGUAUGCAACCUACCUUUAACAGGGGGAUAGCCCGAAGAAAUUCGGAUUAAUACCCCAUAUUACUAUAGAUAAGCAUUUAUUUAUAUUAAAAACUCCGGUGGUUAAAGAUGGGCAUGCGUAACAUUAGAUAGUUGGUGAGGUAACGGCUCACCAAGUCUACGAUGUUUAGGGGGCCUGAGAGGGUGGUCCCCCACACUGGUACUGAGACACGGACCAGACUCCUACGGGAGGCAGCAGCGAGGAAUAUUGCGCAAUGGAGGAAACUCUGACGCAGCCAUGCCGCGUGCAGGAUGACGGCCCUACGGGUUGUAAACUGCUUUUAUACAGGAAGAAUUUUCCGCACGUGUGCGGGAUUGACGGUACUGUACGAAUAAGCACCGGCUAACUCCGUGCCAGCAGCCGCGGUAAUACGGAGGUGCAAGCGUUAUCCGGAUUUAUUGGGUUUAAAGGGUGCGUAGGCGGGAUAAUAAGUCAGUGGUGAAAUACUGCAGCUCAACUGUAGAACUGCCAUUGAUACUGUUAUUCUUGAGUUCGAUUGAGGUAGGCGGAAUGUGUAAUGUAGCGGUGAAAUGCUUAGAUAUUACACAGAACACCGAUUGCGUAGGCAGCUUACUAAGUCGACACUGACGCUGAGGCAUGAAAGCGUGGGGAGCGAACAGGAUUAGAUACCCUGGUAGUCCACGCUGUAAACUAUGAUCACUAGCUGUUGGCGAUACAUCGAUCAGCGGCAAAGCGAAAGCAUUAAGUGAUCCACCUGGGGAGUACGGUCGCAAGAUUGAAACUCAAAGGAAUUGACGGGGGCCCGCACAAGCGGUGGAACAUGUGGUUUGAUUCGAUGAUACGCGAGGAACCUUACCUGGGCUUAAAUGCAGAUUGACGUUUCGGGAAACCGGAAUUCUCUUCGGAGCGAUUUGCAAGGUGCUGCAUGGUUGUCGUCAGCUCGUGCCGUGAGGUGUCGGGUUAAGUCCCAUAACGAGCGCAACCCCUAUCGUUAGUUGCCAGCGGAUCAUGCCGGGGACUCUAACGAAACUGCCGGUGUAAACCGAGAGGAAGGUGGGGAUGACGUCAAAUCAGCACGGCCCUUAUGUCCAGGGCC